CAGUCGCCGCGGUAAGACAGAGGAUGCAAGCGUUAUCCGGAAUGAUUGGGCGUAAAGGGCUCGCAGGCGGUUUCUUAAGUCUGAUGUGAAAGCCCCCGGCUCAACCGGGGAGGGUCAUUGGAAACUGGGAAACUUGAGUGCAGAAGAGGAGAGUGGAAUUCCACGUGUAGCGGUGAAAUGCGUAGAGAUGUGGAGGAACACCAGUGGCGAAGGCGACUCUCUGGUCUGUAACUGACGCUGAGGGGCGAAAGCGUGGGGAGCGAACAGGAUUAGAUACCCCAGUAGUCCCUGUCUCUUAUAC
RNAcentral lists this ribosomal RNA (301 nucleotides) under uncultured bacterium. RNAcentral's name for it is "partial 16S ribosomal RNA". It matches the Rfam family "Bacterial small subunit ribosomal RNA", at positions 509 to 807 of the family's 1533-position model. The record is from RNAcentral.